AAAAUGGCAGAAUGAAAGAAUUAGAGGGGAACUGGAAAGUUGGAAAGACGUGAACCAACACUCAGAAUGAGAAAAGAAGGACAUAUAAGGAAAAAGACUAAUACUCAUGGAAAAAGAGACUAAUGGAUUAACAUCUCCAUUGUAUGAUACUUUCUU
RNAcentral lists this long non-coding RNA (156 nucleotides) under Prolemur simus (greater bamboo lemur). RNAcentral describes it as "TTC28 antisense RNA 1 conserved region 2 (ENSPSMG00000013758.1)". It matches the Rfam family "TTC28 antisense RNA 1 conserved region 2". The record is from RNAcentral. Lineage: Eukaryota; Metazoa; Chordata; Mammalia; Primates; Lemuridae.